GGCGCCGCUGCCGGGCCCUGCUGCAGGGGCAGCGAGCGGGGCUGGGGCCGAGCUGCCCCAGGCGGGCCGGGGAAGGAAGGCUCGUGGCUCACCCAUGAACCUGACGGCCGCCUCUCGCAGGGGCUCCUGUGGGCUGCUCAGCAGGUGCUUGAGAUCCCUCCUGUUCAGGAAUCUCACAGCAGCAAGCAGCGUUUGCCGAGAGGCCUGCAGGGCAGCAUAGAGGCAGAGAUGGCACCGCAGCCCGGGCCACAGGACCCGCAUCCCUGUGCCAAGGCCAGCAGGAGGCUGGAGCCCGUGAGGUGCCAGGGUGCUGGGGGACAGUCGAGCCCCCUCCUACGGGGACACAGUGCCCACGAGUCCUCACCUUUGCCACAGGCCCGUUCUCAUCAUGGCAAUGGAAAAAGAGUGGCAGCAGGCUCUGGCUCACAGGCCUCUUCAGGGGCUUUUUUCCCUUUGCCGCUACCAGCUUCAUCACCUCCUCAAAGAGUUGAAUGGAGAGCAGCUGGACAAGACUGUUCUCCUGUUGGAAAGGAAGCAAAAGCCCUCCACAUCAGCUGCUCCAGGCCCCCCUGUGUACAGGCCCAAAAGUCCAUGGGGCACCACACCUGCGGGCAGCAGCCAGUGCCCAUGGCUGGUGGCACAGAGCCUUACGUUGUCAAAGAGUUGCCAGAGCGCCUCAGCCACGUGCAGGGCAAUAGGGCUGGAUAUUUUGAGGUCCUUGUGCGAGAGCAGAAAGCCGAGUACAACAAGGGUCAACGAUGUCUUCGUUCACAUGCCACAGGAGGUGCCCAAGGCUUUCUGUCAGGCUACUCAAUCUUUUGCUCUGUGUGGAACACAAGGCUGGUGUCCAGCUGGGCAACCCCACGCUGCUGCUGCAGGGCCUCGAGGCCGAAGGCCUGACCCAGCUGAGCAGCAAUGCAGGAGAGCUGGGAGUAGCUGCCACAGCUACCAAAGCCCAGGCAAGUCCAAGGGGCUGCUUUCCCCAGCCCCACGCUGCCAGCACAGCUUCAGCUGCUGCCUCCUUUUCACCACUGAGGGGUCUUUGCUGAGGACCACGAGGCCUCUGAGCACCAGGCGACGCAUCUCCAUGGACUUGCUCUGCAGGUGCCUUGGCAUGAUCUCCAGGACGUUUUCAUGGCAUUCUUUCAAUUGCAGGCACUCAAGGACCUGAAAGGCACAGAGCAGUGGCAGGGGUGCCCGGCUGGCAGGAGCUGAGAAGUGCACAAGGCAGUUCUGCACCGUCCCAGGCAGCUGCAGCUGUGAGAGGGCAGAGAGGUGGGAGGCUGGCAGAGCCACCCAACCUGGUGCCCCUGAAGCUUGCCCCUGAGCCAGGUGUGAGCCCAGUGCCUCCAGAGGCAGGGAGAUGCAGAUGGAGGGAGGACAGAGAGCUAGCUGCUUGACAGGUGGCCUGGCUGCAAGCAAAGGUCAGUAGGAGAAACUCACCGGCAGGGCAAAGACUCCUGUGUUGUCCCCAUCCGAGGUGUACACACUCUCCAGUGGCCGGGGGCUCACCACUCCGAGGAGGAUCUGCAGCGCCAGCUCCGCAGUCCCGCUCGAGGUCAUGAUCGCCCUCCACAUGGCAGCGGCAGCUCUGCGGGGUCACAGCUCUGUCUCAGGGAGGUCUUGGCCACAGCACCGUGGCCUGGGCAGCUGCAGGGGCCCGCGCUGGCCGUCAGCCCUGCCUGUGCGACUGCCCCUGGCUGGCAGCACCCAGACAUGGAGAAGAGAGUGUCAGCACAGCAGCCAGGUGGUACCACGACUGACAAAAACACACAUAAAAGGUGGACCUGUGUUUUUCUGAGGAGCAGUCUGUGGUGUGAGAAAGACUCCUCUCUCCCUUGCUGAAUUGAAUAUUAGUUUUUGAGUGGUGAUUGUUGGAUUUAAAACCCAAGGUUUUGGUGCCAUAGAGGGUAACGUGUGAGGAGUAGAAAUUGGGAGGAGGAGAAGAAAUGCUCUGGGAAGGUUUGGUGUGGGUUGUUUUUGUUUUGUUUUCUUUUUUUGGGUUUUUUUUUGGAGGGGGGGUUUGGUUUUUUUGGGGGGUUUUUUUGUGUGUGUUUAAGGUGUUGGGUUUUUUUUCCUUUCCUAUUUCUGUUCUUAUGUAAUGUAAUAAAGUUAUGUCUUCUGUUUUCAAGUUUUGAGCCUGCUCUGCUCUGUCCCUGAUCACAUCCCACAGUAGUUGCUAGGAAAAACAUAUACUCAUGGGUGCAUCAACAUCUGGUCAGUGGAAACCUAUGACAGUCUUUUCCAAAUUGUUUUCCCACUGUUAUGUUCUGUCUUCUUGAAUGUUUUUUGCUUACAUGAGCUUGUUUUAUAGCAUGGAUAGACAAAAUGGAAUCUAUCAUAAAUUAUAGCAGUUACCAGUGAGAAUAAAUUAAAACUUGAAAAAUAUUCAGUGUGCUCCUGGGAACAAUUAGGAUGUGAUUCACUGUCAAAACCUGUGGAAAACAAAGUAUCAAGACUGCACUGGUAACUAAACCUUUUUUAGUACAAUUUUGAAACAGAAAUAUUCUAUUUAACGUUUCUAUUCCCUUUUCCUUUUUAUAAGGGGACAAAUACUUUCCUCUUAAAAAGAAAGACAAACAAAAAAGAAAACUCUGACUCACUGGAAACAGAUGUCAUAUCUUAAAACUCAAGUUAUUCAACUAUAGAUGACUACCUUGUUUGUAUUGUGUCCAGGGAACACAUUUUUAACUUGAUCUCUCCUCCUCUGCUUGGCUGUUACUACUAUUUGGACUAGAAAGUCUUAUAGUCUUAAAGUUUUAAUACAUUUUCUAACCCCUAAAGGCAAAAGGUCAGAUCUGGGCUGGUGCUUAUCAAUCUCUCUUGGAAUCGGUGCAAUUAAAACAGUUUGCAAUUAUACAGGAUUUGGUAUAAAGGCUAUGAUGCACGCAGUGCUGAGGUUGUAAAACAAAACCUUCUCAGGACUAGGAUAUGACUGAACUAAAAGGCUUUUAUGCUACUGAAAUGAUCCUGGAAUUCUUGCUCUAUAAGGGAUGUGCUUAAGUAUGGAACUGAAUACAAAGACUGUACUUGAAUUGAGAGGUUGGUUUUUUUGGUUUGUUUGUUUUGUUUUUUGGUUGGUUUUUUUUUUUUUUUUGAGUUAGACAUGAGGAGAACCUCACAAGCUGCAAUUUAGAAUGGUGCAUAUGCAUGUUCUUAGUGCUGUAGCAUGCAUUCUCAGGAAAAAAAUGAAAUGAGAUAGAAUAUAGAAUAUAGUGAUAUGCCACUGACAUAUAAAAAAACAGGGAAAAAAAACAGAGUAGGAAAGAGACAUGAGAUUUUUUCCUUCACACUAUUAAUUUGCAUUCAUACUUUGGAAUUCAUAUUUUAGCUGAUGCUUAGAGAGGCUACCUGGAACUGAGGCUGAACAGAGUUAAAGGAAUAAAGUAGGUGUUUAUUAAAAGGCCUUUAAAGGAUACACUUGGGGCAGUACAAGAGCCCUGCUGUGGCUCUACCCAAGAUGGACUCAAGAUGGACAACCGCUCACAAGUUUUCACACUUUUAUAAGUUUUGGUCCAUUUACAUAUUGGGGUCAAUUGUCCAGUUACAGCUCCAGGUUAUGAAGUCCCAUCCUCCCAGUUUGCUCUCCUCAAUUUGCUGUUGUCUAUUCUUGAAGCUGUUGUCUAUUCCUGAAGCUGCAAUGAUGCCCUUGGUUCUCAGGCUGGAAAAAGAUUGUUUUGUCUCUGUGAAGAGAACUUGCUAACAAUUUAUAUGAAGCUCAGUGUCACACACUAAGACAGUACAGAAUCUGGAAAAAAAUAUGAAAGCUAAAACUUAAAGCAUCAUUACCAUUGUGUCUGCCUCAGUCAGGGUUUGUACUGAAUUAUCCUUAGAUACUAAUUUAUUUCAGCUGUGUUUUUAAUAUAGUUCCAUGAUUUUUCUAUAAAAGUCUAAAGUAAAACUAAACAAGUAUUCCAAUCUUAAAAAAUACUUUAGAACAAUUACUAUAUUCUAGAAAUUUAAUUUCUUAUUUUACUGAUACUGCCUCAGAGAAACUUUCACAAUGGGUGGUGUGGAAAUGAUUGUAGAUGCCCAAUGUAAACAUAAAAUGUCAAAAGAGCAGUUCUUUCUAUAGGAGUUCCAGUGUUUUCCUGUCUCACAUGGCUGAAUUAAUUUCAGAUGUUGUCCUAGUAACUACUGUAUGUAAAUCUGUAUAUUUGCUUUAAUCUUAUGAUGGGCUGCUGGUGUGAAUGUACAUGUGGUGUGAAUGUCAACACUUUGUUUAAGGUCUGUGUGGUAUGAUGUAUUUAUCAUACUAUAUUUGGGGUAUAUGCAUGUGCCCUAACCUUUACACACAUGUACAUAUUUAGUAACGAAAACCAUGAAGCUUUUUUUCCUGUAACAUGUAAUAAGGACUACUGUGAUUUUAUGCCCAAGUUAAAAAAAAAAAAAAAAAAAAACAAAAGCAAAACACCUAUGUGCACUGGUUACUGUGGCAACCUCUUAAAAAUACCUAUAUAGUUUUAAAAAAGGACAAAGCACAAAAAAUUUUUAAGAUAUGAUUGAAAUUUUAACAAAAAUAUAAUGCUUUAAAAACAGAAUUUUUCGCAUUAUAAUGACAUGUCAAAAUUAUAUGUAGUUGUCAUGGAGGAAGCAUGAGAGAUUGAUAUGCAGAAUGUGGAGUCUUGCUUUCAAGAAGUCAGGCAGGGUCAUGAGGAAAAGGUUGUUCAGUGAGGAUGAAUGGGCACCACAGCAGCCCAGUGCUCUGGGGUCUAGUGCAGUUUGUGAGAUAUUUGGGACAAAAAAUUCAACUGGUCAUGUCCCAAAUCCUCCUGCUCUUCAGCUGAAGUCAGUUUUCUGUACAGAUCUUGGAAAGAAUUGACAAUGACAGUUUUCACAAAUGUUUCCUGACAAAAGAGCCAUUAAAUAUAUUCAAGUAUUUGGUCUGAAAGCCAUGACUGAUCCAUGUUUGAGCGAAGGACAGAGCCUUGCUCUGGAAGUCAGUGUAUUUCUUGAUUGAGUUGAGAGUGAGACACCUUUGGAAUGCUUUUCAGCCAUUAGAAACAUUAGAGUAAUUUCCAAAAGAUAUGGAGCAGUGGCUGGAGUUGGAUGAAUGAUGCAACAAUUCAGGCUAGCUCACAUUAAUAAAACUGAUCUUCUGUUUGUCAAAAUAGCUGUUGUGUGACAAUGUGAUCACAGAUACGGAGAAAAUAAUUUCCUCUGUAGCUGCUGAGGUCACUGUUAGGCUUUCUUGUAAGUUCCAUCUCACCUGUAAACAUGCAUCAGGUGAAAAUAUAAAAUAAAUUAGGAGGACUUUCAGGAGAAAUCGUUGAAUAUAGAUUUGAAAGUGCACUCCUGGAGCCCAUUAGGAAGUGACAAAAUAUGAAUUCUCCCAGCAUGUAGACUGUAAUUUUAUCCACAGUGAGGAGUGAUCCGAGCAGCCGUGUUAGCACGUUGCAAAAGUCUUGGCCAAAUCUUUAGCUUGGUUUUUGAGGUGUGUUUGCCACUGUGUUUGCAGUGGCAAAUCUUUUGAUAUCAGCUGUGCUGAAGGGCUCGACUUCUACCCAUGGCUAGAGAGUGACAUUUAAGAUGAGGUGUUUUCCUAGAAGAGCUGGGUGUUCUGUUUGACAAAAUUAUUUUCUGAAGUCACAUUACUCUUGAUAUUCAGGAGUACUACAUUUCCACCAUAAUUUAGAGUUAAUUUGUUUUCUUUGUUUUAAAAUUAAAAAGACUUUAAACGAGAUUAUUUUUGUUAUAACCUACACCAUAUAAAUGAUCUUUUCUUAUCAAAUUACUGUAGCUGUACUGACUGGGAAGUUAAACACAUGCUAUUUGCUUUUUAAGGUGUGUAGCAAGAGCAGGAUGUCUUAUGGAAUGAAGGUUGAGCUAUCCCAAACUGGGCCUCAGAUUUGGGCCUGCAAGGCCUCAGAUUUGGGCCCAUGUAGUAGUAGAUAAACCUGUGGCGCAGUUAGAAAUUCAAUUAAGGUGUGUGCAUGCUUUAGCUAGGGCAGUUAGGAUAGAAUCACGGUGGCUGCCUUAAACUGAAAUAGUUUACAUACUUCUUCAUGCUGAAUGCCAAUAGAAGUGCACCUGCAACUGUAAACUAUCUGACACUGUAUAAAACCAGCCAUUUUGAGAAUAAAGAAGAGAACGUAUAUUAUAACCACAUUGGUCGGACCUGUGUUUGCUCCGUCUCCAAUCCCAAUUAGAGUCCCUGAUUUCAGCUGGUGCCCUGAAUGUGGCAGGCAAGGACACAGGCGCCGCAGAAGAUUUUGGAAUGUAACAGGAAGGCAGCUAGGACUCUUCCUCCCCCUCAUCCACAGCCUUGUCCAUAGAGAUAAGCGAAAAAAGUCCCUCUGAGGUAUGCAACUCCCCUCUAACUUCAGUAGAUUUCCAUUCCCCUUUACUAACUACUAAGACCCACCAUCCCUUUGUGACGUAGCGAAACCCCUUUGAGUAUUUAACCCCAAGAUACAAGCUAAAAAAUCGCCAUUUUGACC
Long non-coding RNA from Prinia subflava (tawny-flanked prinia), 6440 nucleotides. RefSeq lists it as uncharacterized. Lineage: Eukaryota; Metazoa; Chordata; Aves; Passeriformes; Cisticolidae. The record is from RefSeq and is a predicted model, not a curated record. The transcript has 2 exons.